Molecule: RNA transcript, 1124 nt
Organism: Magallana angulata
Lineage: Eukaryota; Metazoa; Mollusca; Bivalvia; Ostreida; Ostreidae
Exons: 2
Source: RefSeq, a predicted model, not a curated record
AAGACAUUAACGACAAUGGUUAAGACGGUAUCUAUUUUGUGGAAAGUUUUACUUUGCCUGGCUGUCUGUGAUGUUUGUUGGACUAGAUAUCUAGCUUUAGAUGACGACACAGAGGACAGCUAUCUACCGGAAACAGAAGUACCAAUCAAGGAGAAACUACCGUCUGCAGCUAAAAAUUUACUGUUGCUGAGACUCAUCAAAAGUUACCAAAAAAAUUCAAAAGACGAUGCCGACUCUGAGUCACCCGAAAAACGCCAAAGACGUUGCUACUGGUCACCUGUAGCCUGCUAUGGAUGAAUCUUCGCUGUAUUUUUAUGAUUUCUUUAUAUGAAAAUAUAUACAGAACGUUAAAAAACUAUUAUAUGCUUAAGCAUAAAUAUAUACUGAAAUAUACAAUCAAGGAUUGUAAUGUUUUAACCCAAAACUACUUAACUGUGUGUAUAUAUUUGCAGGAAUUAAAUUUGAGUUUGUUUUGCAUAAAGCUUUGAUUAUUAUACAAACUGUGACUUUUGCAGGUAUAUGAUUAUUUUUUACCUGAUACAGUGUUGACGUUGACAUAUGUUAUGGUUGACAUCAGUAACAUCAAUAUACUGUUUAAAUAAUGCUAGAAUUUUCAUAAAUAACUCCGUAAUUAGAUAUAAAGUGUUGAACGUGCAGACUUGGGCCUAUCGUUCUUAAGUACUCUUCGCAGGUUUUAUAUAACCAUUAAUCUUUGUUGUUAUCCAUAUUUUCCAUUUUAUUUUGGUUUAUGCUCAGUUUAUCUUUCAAUAUAUACAUUACAAAUAUUUUUUGCAUGUAAAGUGUGUGAAAAGACACUGCAGUUAUAAGACCGUAACACACACAUGGUACUCAAAGGUUAGAAUGACUAGUUUUAUUAUGACGUCACAAACGUUGAACACUGUAAAAUGCAACGUCACAAGCGGGAAUCAAAGUUCACGCUUGUGGCUGUUACAGUGGCUCUUCCAUUAAUUUGAACUUACCCUUAGGAUAAAACAGAAAUUUUGAUAUAUAAAUCACAUUUGCAGACAAGGUAAAAAAAAUUAAAAAAUGUAAAUAUAAGCAUUAAAUCAUUAUUUUUUGAAAGAUAUAGUCUCAUAACUGCAGCGAUGUGUGCAUACAAAUUU